Molecule: transfer RNA, 74 nt
Organism: Camelus ferus (Wild Bactrian camel)
Lineage: Eukaryota; Metazoa; Chordata; Mammalia; Artiodactyla; Camelidae
Rfam family: tRNA
About the family: Transfer RNA (tRNA) molecules are approximately 80 nucleotides in length. Their secondary structure includes four short double-helical elements and three loops (D, anti-codon, and T loops).
Source: Rfam
GAGGGUAUAGCUCAAAGUGGCAGAGCACAUGCUUAGCAUGCACAAGGUCCUGGGUUCAAUCCCCAGCACCUCCU